CACCGACUGUUGCUAUACGUGUUAGCUCCGAAGAAAGGGAGAGUGGGAGCGAGAGAGCGCGAACAGGUCUUCGAUCUUCAAUCGUCUUUGAUUUUCAUCCAUCACUGCUCAACCCAAUUACCCAAUUGAUCCCUUUCUCAUUUCAAUUAACUACAUGGGAAAACUGAUUAAGGUUACGGCAUUUGCAGAGAAGAGUUUUCAGGCUUGCGAUCAGUGUUGAGGUCCAAAGGACAAGUCUCCUGGCAAAACCAUUUGGGUUCUGCGGACGAAGAGAAAAGGAGAGGAGACG
Rosa chinensis is the source of this 289-nucleotide long non-coding RNA. RefSeq lists it as uncharacterized. The record is from RefSeq and is a predicted model, not a curated record. Lineage: Eukaryota; Viridiplantae; Streptophyta; Magnoliopsida; Rosales; Rosaceae. The transcript has 2 exons.